RNAcentral lists this ribosomal RNA (301 nucleotides) under uncultured bacterium. RNAcentral describes it as "partial 16S ribosomal RNA". It matches the Rfam family "Bacterial small subunit ribosomal RNA", at positions 509 to 808 of the family's 1533-position model. The record is from RNAcentral.
CAGCCGCCGCGGUAAUACGUAGGUCCCGAGCGUUGUCCGGAUUUAUUGGGCGUAAAGCGAGCGCAGGCGGUUAGAUAAGUCUGAAGUUAAAGGCUGUGGCUUAACCAUAGUACGCUUUGGAAACUGUUUAACUUGAGUGCAAGAGGGGAGAGUGGAAUUCCAUGUGUAGCGGUGAAAUGCGUAGAUAUAUGGAGGAACACCGGUGGCGAAAGCGGCUCUCUGGUCUGUCACUGACGCUGAGGCUCGAAAGCGUGGGUAGCGAACAGGAUUAGAUACCCCCGUAGUCCCUGUCUCUUAUACC